GACGGAUGGGGCUAGCGUUAUUCGGAAUUACUGGGCGUAAAGGGCGCGUAGGCGGUGAAUUAAGUUAGGCGUGAAAGCCCUGGGCUCAACCCAGGAACUGCGUUUAAUACUGGUUCGCUAGAGUUUGGUAGAGGAAAGCGGAAUUCCUAGUGUAGAGGUGAAAUUCGUAGAUAUUAGGAAGAACACCAGAGGCGAAGGCGGCUUUCUGGACCAAUACUGACGCUGAGGCGCGAAAGCGUGGGGAGCAAACAGG
Molecule: ribosomal RNA, 253 nt
Filed under: uncultured bacterium
Lineage: Bacteria
Description: partial 16S ribosomal RNA
Rfam family: Bacterial small subunit ribosomal RNA
Source: RNAcentral